Long non-coding RNA from Cyprinus carpio carpio, 576 nucleotides. Lineage: Eukaryota; Metazoa; Chordata; Actinopteri; Cypriniformes; Cyprinidae. The record is from Ensembl.
AGUCUCCAUAGUCAGCUUAGGACACGGUGGUUACAUUUCAUUUUCAAAGGAAAUGUCCUGGAAAAAAACAGGAAUGUCCUACUCACAAACGAGGGUCAGUUCAGUGCUGGAGUUAUGCAAAGAUUGCUUCUGAAAGAGGGAUCGAUAUAAACGCUUAGUCUGCAAACGUCCAGACUCCAGACAAUGACUGUUUCCUUUGUCCACCUGGACCUUUUAUUGAUUUUUGGACCACACUGUUUGAAGAGAGAGUGGGAGAAUCUCCUUCAUCAGAGAACAUCUUGGGCAUCAGAACGCCCAUCACACAAGCUAUCAGACUGUAGCCAGUCAGUGUACAUGGGAAUGAUUUGUAGGCAUGACUAAUAGAAGCCGAUGGGCAGGAUGCCAGGGUUACUUUCACCUCUUUGAGAAACACCUUUCAGUUAUCACAGUGAGUCAAGUACUACUGUAUGUCACUGACUUCUUUUUUAUUCUUAAGUUUCUACAGACAUUUAUGGGUCAAUGACAUGAUGCUCAUUUUCCUUUGAAAGUCACUGAUCUUUAAAGCUCUUCUUUAAUGGCAUGGUUUUAUUUUCUGGA